This 546-nucleotide ribosomal RNA is filed under the name uncultured archaeon. Its description in RNAcentral is "bacterial SSU rRNA". It matches the Rfam family "Archaeal small subunit ribosomal RNA", at positions 333 to 879 of the family's 1478-position model. The record is from RNAcentral.
CAGCAGGCGCGAAAACUUUACAAUGCGGGAAACCGUGAUAAGGGGACACCGAGUGCCAGCAUCAUAUGCUGGCUGUCCGGGUGUGUAAAAUACACCCGUUAGCAAGGGCCGGGCAAGACCGGUGCCAGCCGCCGCGGUAACACCGGCGGCCCGAGUGGUGAUCGUGAUUAUUGGGUCUAAAGGGUCCGUAGCCGGUUUGGUCAGUCCUCCGGGAAAUCUGAUAGCUCAACUAUUAGGCUUUCGGGGGAUACUGCCAGGCUUGGAACCGGGAGAGGUAAGAGGUACUACAGGGGUAGGAGUGAAAUCUUGUAAUCCCUGUGGGACCACCUGUGGCGAAGGCGUCUUACCAGAACGGGUUCGACGGUGAGGGACGAAAGCUGGGGGCACGAACCGGAUUAGAUAUCCGGGUAGUCCCAGCCGUAAACGAUGCUCGCUAGGUGUCAGGCAUGGCGCGACCGUGUCUGGUGCCGCAGGGAAGCCGUGAAGCGAGCCACCUGGGAAGUACGGCCGCAAGGCUGAAACUUAAAGGAAUUGGCGGGGGAGCAC